RNAcentral lists this ribosomal RNA (253 nucleotides) under uncultured prokaryote. RNAcentral's name for it is "partial 16S ribosomal RNA". It matches the Rfam family "Bacterial small subunit ribosomal RNA", at positions 524 to 776 of the family's 1533-position model. The record is from RNAcentral.
GACGUAGGGGGCGAGCGUUGUUCGGAAUUACUGGGCGUAAAGCGUGCGUAGGCGGACUUAUAAGUCAAGGUUGAAAUAUCCGGGCUCAACUCGGGGCACGGCCUUGAUACUGCAAGUCUUGAGUCAAGCAGAGGGUAAUGGAAUUCCCGGUGUAGCGGUAAAAUGCGUAGAUAUCGGGAGGAACACCAGUGGCGAAGGCGAUUACCUGGGGUUGAUCUGACGCUGAGGAGCGAAAACUAGGGGAGCAAACGGG